GGUCAAUAAAUUCAAAGUAUACAUUUUCAGUAAGAGUAAGGAGAAAGGAGUGAGAUUACAAAAUAUUUACAUUAUAAGGAACAUACAUUUACAGAUGUGCAGAUAAGAAUUGAAAGGUUAAUUAAUUAGUUCAUAUUUCCAGAAUGUACAGCCCAAAAAGUUGGUGAAAUCAUAUACAUAGAAAGAUAUAGAGAAAAGUAAUAAGAAAUAAAAAUACAAUCAUAAACAGGCAUAGGAAUAUUUUGUAGAGAUUCGACAAAGUUAUAUGUACGAGCAAUUCUUUUAGUAACAUUGUUUUGAGUACCGGCCCUUGGGCUUUAGAAUGCUAGGUACUAAAAUUCUUACCUAGUACCGGCAAUGUUGGUGUUGGAUCCACUGUGUAAGGUUCACCUGAAAUUUUAAAUUAAGUAUGUAAUUAUUGUAUUUAAAUCUAAACAACGUAUAAGCUAAACGGGUCUUUUGGAGCUCACAAAAGCUCUAUCAAGUUGCGGCAACGCGAACAUGUUCAAAUAAAGCUACAAGUUUUAACUGUU
Long non-coding RNA from Drosophila guanche, 533 nucleotides. RefSeq lists it as uncharacterized. The record is from RefSeq and is a predicted model, not a curated record. NCBI's taxonomy places the organism in Eukaryota, Metazoa, Arthropoda, Insecta, Diptera, Drosophilidae. The transcript is spliced from 2 exons.